CAGCCGCCACGGUAAUACGAAGGGGGCUAGCGUUGUUCAGAUUUACUGGGCGUAAAGCGCACGUAGGCGGACUUUUAAGUCAGGGGUGAAAUCCCGGGGCUCAACCCCGGAACCGCCUUUGAUACUGGAAGUCUUGAGUAUGGUAGAGGUGAGUGGAAUUCCGAGUGUAGAGGUGAAAUUCGUAGAUAUUCGGAGGAACACCAGUGGCGAAGGCGGCUCACUGGACCAUUACUGACGCUGAGGUGCGAAAGCGUGGGGAGCAAACAGGAUUAGAUACCCCUGUAGUCCCUGUCUCUUACAC
RNAcentral lists this ribosomal RNA (301 nucleotides) under uncultured bacterium. RNAcentral's name for it is "partial 16S ribosomal RNA". It matches the Rfam family "Bacterial small subunit ribosomal RNA", at positions 509 to 809 of the family's 1533-position model. The record is from RNAcentral.